UGGUACCAAAUGAUGUUAAAGAAGGACAUUUUGCUGUAUUUUCAGUAAAUUCAGAGGAAGAUCCAAAGAGGUUUAUUGUGGAAUUAUGUUGGCUUACUGAUCCAUCAUUCUUGGAAUUAUUAAAACAAACUGAAGAUGAAUAUGGAUUUGGACAAAAGGGUGUUCUUGAAGUUCAUUGUCUCGCCG
This is a long non-coding RNA of Solanum verrucosum, 186 nucleotides long. RefSeq lists it as uncharacterized. The transcript is spliced from 2 exons. NCBI's taxonomy places the organism in Eukaryota, Viridiplantae, Streptophyta, Magnoliopsida, Solanales, Solanaceae. The record is from RefSeq and is a predicted model, not a curated record.